RNAcentral lists this ribosomal RNA (465 nucleotides) under Vreelandella stevensii. Its description in RNAcentral is "partial 16S ribosomal RNA". It matches the Rfam family "Bacterial small subunit ribosomal RNA", at positions 338 to 795 of the family's 1533-position model. The record is from RNAcentral. Lineage: Bacteria; Pseudomonadati; Pseudomonadota; Gammaproteobacteria; Oceanospirillales; Halomonadaceae.
CCUACGGGGGGCUGCAGUGGGGAAUAUUGGACAAUGGGGGGAACCCUGAUCCAGCCAUGCCGCGUGUGUGAAGAAGGCCCUCGGGUUGUAAAGCACUUUCAGUGAGGAAGAACGCCUGGUGGUUAAUACCCAUCAGGAAAGACAUCACUCACAGAAGAAGCACCGGCUAACUCCGUGCCAGCAGCCGCGGUAAUACGGAGGGUGCGAGCGUUAAUCGGAAUUACUGGGCGUAAAGCGCGCGUAGGUGGCUUGAUAAGCCGGUUGUGAAAGCCCCGGGCUCAACCUGGGAACGGCAUCCGGAACUGUCAAGCUAGAGUGCAGCAGAGGAAGGUAGAAUUCCCGGUGUAGCGGUGAAAUGCGUAGAGAUCGGGAGGAAUACCAGUGGCGAAGGCGGCCUUCUGGACUGACACUGACACUGAGGUGCGAAAGCGUGGGUAGCAAACAGGAUUAGAUACCCGGGUAGUC